RNAcentral lists this long non-coding RNA (1312 nucleotides) under Equus caballus (horse). RNAcentral describes it as "lncRNA (ENSECAG00000043268.2)". The record is from RNAcentral. Lineage: Eukaryota; Metazoa; Chordata; Mammalia; Perissodactyla; Equidae.
UACGGAAUUCCUUGCGUAGGAGAAAAACAAUAACUUCCAGUUGAACAAGAGCUAAAAGAAGGGAAGAUGUGACGGCAGCUCCAUUGAACAAUUUCUCUAAGUACAGACAGGCACCGCUUUCCACCCUCUGGUCACGUUCCACCUCCCAUUCUCAGGAAUUCUCUGGUAGGUGCACCUUGUUCAGAUAAGAACUGCACAGCAUUUCUUCGUGGGCCCCUGCAAGCCAUCCUUUGCAAUGGCACAGCCUCUAAACUUGGAGUUUUGCGGCCGUGGCUACUGUCCAGAGAAAGAGAAACACUUCAGAAGAAUUCUGGGUGAGCUUUCCAGGCUGAGGACAGAGCAGAAGCAAAAGCGUGGAGAUCCAGUGGAGUGUGUUCUUGGAUGACAAGAACACAGGAAGAGCGUGAAGAGUGCGUGGAUUAUCACAGUGGAAGGUGGAAUGAAAUUAAUUGAUAGAAGACAGGGGUUUAGGUUCCUGUACCAUUACAUACCUCAAACUUCAGGAAAGGAAGAAGCCAGGAACAGCAAUGUUUUAUACACUGUAGACAGAAGGGACAGCAAAGAGUGGCCCCUCAGGCAUCAGGGGCUCCACGUCAUCACAGAGACCAUAGAUAUAAAGUUCUCCAAGAAGCAGACACCAAGGUGUGAUUAAACAUGCAAGGAUUUUGAUUAAGGGAAAUGGCCGUGAGAGAAAAUGUGGAGGAAGCCAGGGGAGACUGGAGGAGCCAUCAGACCAUGAUGCGGUGUGGCCCAGAGUGAAAGAGAGCAGAAAGGAAGCUGCCCCUCCAGAGGAUUCAAAAACAGCUCUCCCUUCCUGGUCGGUGACGCCUGUCUCUCCUCCCAGGGGAGAACUACUUUGUUAUCUGAGUCAGGAGCAAUGGGCAUCUGUGCACAGCUGUUCAUGGGGUGACGCAGAGGGGAGAUUCAAUCAGGAACUUCAAGCACAUGGAGGGACGUUACCCACAAGAUGAACAGGAUCGCUCCCCCUUAGCAUCUCAGGGUCUCCUUGAGUUACUGUGUAACAGAGGACACAGAUUCACCACUCCCUCUGGCCCCAUGCACAGAACUGGCACCUACAGGUGGAAAUUUCAGGAAGGCAGGUUUCACUUUGACCCAAGGAACGAUUUUCUAGCAAGUGGAAUGGAGUGCUUCCUUUGGAAAGACGAGAUUGGCCUUCCAGAUUGCUAGAACUGUUCACUCAACAGUAGUUUGAACACCCAAGCCUUGCUGCCCCUCACAACUUUUUCUAGAGUCACUAUUCUACCCGGCGCUACUAUGUUUUGAUUGUUGUUUUAAGCCACUAAGUUUUGAC